CCAAGGAGUCUAGCGUGUGCGCGAGUCAUUGGGAUAACACUAAACCUAAAGGCGCAAUGAAAGUAAAAGUUCGUCUCGCGCGAACCGAGGGAAGACGGUCGGCAAAUUAGAGUCGGCCCGCAUUCCCGGGGCGUCUCGUUCUCAUUGCGAGAAGAGGCGCACCAAGAGCGUACACGCUGGGACCCGAAAGAUGGUGAACUAUGCCUGGUCAGGACGAAGUCAGGGGAAACCCUGAUGGAGGUCCGUAGCGAUUCUGACGUGCAAAUCGAUCGUCGGAACUGGGUAUAGGGGCGAAAGACUAAUCGAACCAUC
This 312-nucleotide ribosomal RNA is filed under the name Scymnus fanjingicus. RNAcentral describes it as "LSU rRNA". It matches the Rfam family "Eukaryotic large subunit ribosomal RNA", at positions 666 to 944 of the family's 3401-position model. Lineage: Eukaryota; Metazoa; Arthropoda; Insecta; Coleoptera; Coccinellidae. The record is from RNAcentral.